RNAcentral lists this ribosomal RNA (253 nucleotides) under uncultured bacterium. Its description in RNAcentral is "partial 16S ribosomal RNA". It matches the Rfam family "Bacterial small subunit ribosomal RNA", at positions 524 to 776 of the family's 1533-position model. The record is from RNAcentral.
UACGUAGGUGGCAAGCGUUGUCCGGAUUUACUGGGCGUAAAGAGCGCGCAGGCGGUCGGAUUAGUCGCGUGUGAAAGCCCCCGGCUCAACUGGGGAGGGUCACGCGAUACUGUUCGACUCGAAGGCAGGAGAGGGAAGUGGAAUUCCCGGUGUAGUGGUGAAAUGCGUAGAUAUCGGGAGGAACACCAGUGGCGAAGGCGGUCUGCUGGGCAGUUUCUGACACUGAUGCGCGACAGCGUGGGGAGCAAACAGG